RNAcentral lists this non-coding RNA (46 nucleotides) under Schistosoma mattheei. The record is from RNAcentral. Lineage: Eukaryota; Metazoa; Platyhelminthes; Trematoda; Strigeidida; Schistosomatidae.
ACACUACUGAAGAGUCCCAUAGUAGGACGAAACGAUUGUCCAGUGC